Molecule: ribosomal RNA, 492 nt
Filed under: uncultured bacterium
Lineage: Bacteria
Description: partial 16S ribosomal RNA
Rfam family: Bacterial small subunit ribosomal RNA
Source: RNAcentral
AGUGAACGCUGGCGGUAGGCCUAACACAUGCAAGUCGAACGGCAGCACAGUAAGAGCUUGCUCUUACGGGUGGCGAGUGGCGGACGGGUGAGGAAUACAUCGGAAUCUACUUUUUCGUGGGUGAUAACGUAGGGAAACUUACGCUAAUACCGCAUACGACCUACGGGUGAAAGCAGGGGAUCUUCGGACCUUGCGCGAUUGAAUGAGCCGAUGUCGGAUUAGCUAGUUGGCGGGGUAAAGGCCCACCAAGGCGACGAUCCGUAGCUGGUCUGAGAGGAUGAUCAGCCACACUGGAACUGAGACACGGUCCAGACUCCUACGGGAGGCAGCAGUGGGGAAUAUUGGACAAUGGGCGCAAGCCUGAUCCAGCCAUACCGCGUGGGUGAAGAAGGCCUUCGGGUUGUAAAGCCCUUAUGUUGGGAAAGAAAAGCAGCAGGUUAAUACCCCGCUGUUCUGACGGUACCCAAAGAAUAAGCACCGGCUAACUUCGUG